Molecule: transfer RNA, 82 nt
Filed under: Bifidobacteriaceae bacterium
Lineage: Bacteria; Bacillati; Actinomycetota; Actinomycetes; Bifidobacteriales; Bifidobacteriaceae
Description: tRNA-Leu
Rfam family: tRNA
About the family: Transfer RNA (tRNA) molecules are approximately 80 nucleotides in length. Their secondary structure includes four short double-helical elements and three loops (D, anti-codon, and T loops).
Source: RNAcentral
GCGCGAGUGGCGGAAUUGGCAGACGCGCAGGAUUUAGGUUCCUGUGCCCCAGGGCGUGCGGGUUCAAGUCCCGUCUCGCGCA